This 93-nucleotide ribosomal RNA is filed under the name Lysinibacillus fusiformis. RNAcentral also lists the same sequence under 5 other names. The record is from RNAcentral. Lineage: Bacteria; Bacillati; Bacillota; Bacilli; Caryophanales; Bacillaceae.
UCUAGUGAUGAUGGCAAAGAGGUCACACCCGUUCCCAUACCGAACACGGAAGUUAAGCUCUUUAGCGCCGAUGGUAGUUGGGGGCUUCCCCCU